AGUUAAUAAGCAAAAGCAUUAUAUCUUGAAAAUAUAAAAAAAAUCUAAAUUGAUUUAUUAACUU
This 64-nucleotide transfer RNA is filed under the name Magadhaideus sp. n. SX-2018. Its description in RNAcentral is "tRNA-Ser". Lineage: Eukaryota; Metazoa; Arthropoda; Insecta; Hemiptera; Achilidae. The record is from RNAcentral.